GUUGCAAGCCUGUGUACAUGUUGAUAUUAAAUACGUCAAGAAAAAACUCCGAAACAACAUGUCUCAACUAAUCUGUCUCUUCCUUGCCUUGACAGCAAUUAUUUGAAUGUCGGGAUUUUUCGUGGCACCUGUCGAAGGGAAAAAGUGUCCUCCUGCACUCGCUGACUGCAAGCAUUUGUUUUCUACGAUAAUCUGCAAGGAUAUAUGCCCCAGGGGAAAGAAAUGAAGUAAAGGAAAUUGAUUUGAAUCUGGAUGAAAACUUUGGAUGCAGCUGUUUCUGUUACUAUCAUGUAACCGGAGAUUGGAAAUAAAUAAUACAUUAUA
Hylaeus volcanicus is the source of this 324-nucleotide long non-coding RNA. RefSeq lists it as uncharacterized. The record is from RefSeq and is a predicted model, not a curated record. Lineage: Eukaryota; Metazoa; Arthropoda; Insecta; Hymenoptera; Colletidae. The transcript has 3 exons.